This 313-nucleotide long non-coding RNA is filed under the name Elaeis guineensis (African oil palm). RNAcentral's name for it is "long non-coding RNA (EGUI_LNC027809)". The record is from RNAcentral. Lineage: Eukaryota; Viridiplantae; Streptophyta; Magnoliopsida; Arecales; Arecaceae.
UGUGCGUCCGUGGUGAUCACAGGAUGCGAGGAACUGGGCUUUACCAUUGGAGGUGGAGGAACAUCUUCCUGGUGGGAAGACUGCCUCGCCGAUCCAGUCGAAUGCUGAGCUCUGGUUCUUGACAUGGUUGACUAUAGUUUUUCUCCUACCUGACGCCCCAAUCUGUUACGGCCAACUCCCUGUCGCUUGUCGCUAGUGAAGAGCACCUGCAAGAUAAAAUCCUCACAGAUCGAAAUUGUGUCCGACGGAAACCCUCCGAUACUUAAGUUAGAGAGAGGGUUGGUGAAUAGCAGAUAAGAAUGUAAAAUGUAAC